CUAGUAAGUCGGGUGAUCGCCCCCCACCACUUUAUGUGGAUUUCCAAUUUAGUUAUAAAUUGUGAAUUCAAAAUAAUUUUGUAAAACUCGUUUCGGAAGUCUGUAUAAAGUGGUGGGGGGAGGAAAGUCCGAACUCUUACUCCUGAAUUUUUCAGGGUUAAAAAGGUAGCAGGUAAUACCUGUCGGCCGUAAGGCUAGAGAUGCGAACAGAGACGCCCUAGACACCGAAAGGUGUCGGGCGCCCGGCCUAGACCCGAAGGGGUCGGCAUAGGGCGAGUCCAAGAAGUAAUUCUUGGGGUGAAACGGCUAAAUUCUUACCUGGGAGCAAGGUUAAACCAAGAGUUGAGGAAUUAACUUUGACUCUUGGAAAAGUAAACCGCUUGAGCCCUGGAGUAAUCCAAGGCCUAGAUUGAUGAUCACUUCACCCGCCAAAGUUUUGUUCGCAAAAUUUAGGCGGGCAAGAACAGAAUUCGGCUUACGGACUUACUAGGACA
Molecule: non-coding RNA, 494 nt
Organism: Parcubacteria group bacterium CG1_02_36_42
Lineage: Bacteria
Source: Rfam